GGGCGGAGCGGGCACCGCCUCCUUUCGUAGCGGAGCGAGCCGGGCGGCGGGCGGCUGCGGCCGCUGCGGAGGCCCCGAGGCUUCGGAUGGCUUGCAAAGGUCAGCAAGGAGAAGCCACCUUGAUCAUCUGCAGUGGAGACAAGACCAUCUGGGCAACUGGACACCCACCCAUCUGCCCCAAGGGAACCAAGCCAUUUCCAGAGAUCUCUCCUGGCUUUUGCAUUCUAAGGUUUGGUCCCACAGAUUCUAGAAAAUUUUGUCUUACUUUGUCUCUGAUCUUCUAUUGCAUAUUUCUGUGUGAUAAAAACCAUAUUGUGUGUGGAUAAAUGCCAGCACUCACUCAUUCAUUCAUUCAUUCAUUCAAUAUUCAUUAAACAUUUGCUCUGUGGAUGGAGUUGGGACUGUCAAUACUAACACAAUGCUGUGCGCCU
Molecule: long non-coding RNA, 431 nt
Filed under: Dasypus novemcinctus (nine-banded armadillo)
Lineage: Eukaryota; Metazoa; Chordata; Mammalia; Cingulata; Dasypodidae
Description: lncRNA (ENSDNOG00000050151.1)
Source: RNAcentral